GGAGGGGUCGCCUAAUCCGGCUAGGGCAGCGGCCUCGAAAGUCGCCGGGGCUUCACGGUCCCAUGUGGGUUCAAAUCCCACCCCCUCCGCCA
This 92-nucleotide transfer RNA is filed under the name Armatimonadota bacterium. RNAcentral describes it as "Armatimonadetes bacterium (groundwater metagenome) tRNA-Ser". It matches the Rfam family "tRNA". From Rfam's summary of the family: Transfer RNA (tRNA) molecules are approximately 80 nucleotides in length. Their secondary structure includes four short double-helical elements and three loops (D, anti-codon, and T loops). Lineage: Bacteria; Bacillati; Armatimonadota. The record is from RNAcentral.